RNAcentral lists this ribosomal RNA (484 nucleotides) under uncultured bacterium. RNAcentral's name for it is "partial 16S ribosomal RNA". It matches the Rfam family "Bacterial small subunit ribosomal RNA", at positions 28 to 507 of the family's 1533-position model. The record is from RNAcentral.
AUUGAACGCUGGCGGCAUGCUUUACACAUGCAAGUCGAACGGCAGCGCGGGCUUCGGCCUGGCGGCGAGUGGCGAGCGGGCGAGUAAUGCAUCGGAACGUGCCCAGUAGUGGGGGAUAGCCCGGCGAAAGCCGGAUUAAUACCGCAUACGACCUGAGGGUGAAAGCGGGGGACCGAAAGGUCUCGCGCUAUUGGAGCGGCCGAUGUCGGAUUAGCUAGUUGGUGGGGUAAAGGCUUACCAAGGCGACGAUCCGUAGCUGGUCUGAGAGGACGACCAGCCACACUGGGACUGAGACACGGCCCAGACUCCUACGGGAGGCAGCAGUGGGGAAUUUUGGACAAUGGGGGCAACCCUGAUCCAGCCAUGCCGCGUGCGGGAAGAAGGCCUUCGGGUUGUAAACCGCUUUUGUUCGGGAAGAAAUCCUCUGGGCUAAUACCCCGGGGUGAUGACGGUACCGGAAGAAUAAGCACCGGCUAACUACGUG